UAGUCAGCAGUAUGAGUGGUCUGGUCUGCAACAGGCUGGUUGUCAGGUAGUCAGCAGUAUGAGUGGUCUGGUCUGCAACAGGCUGGUUGUCAGGUAGUCAGCAGUAUGAGUGGUCUGGUCUGCAACAGGCUGGUUGUCAGGUAGUCAGCAGUAUGAGUGGUCUGGUCUGCAACAGGCUGGUUGUCAGGUAGUCAGCAGUAUGAGUGGUCUGGUCUGCAACAGGCUGGUUGUCAGGUAGUCAGCAGUAUGAGUGGUCUGGUCUGCAACAGGCUGGUUGUCAGGUAGUCAGCAGUAUGAGUGGUCUGGUCUGCAACAGGCUGGUUGUCAGGUAGUCAGCAGUAUGAGUGGUCUGGUCUGCAACAGGCUGGUUGUCAGGUAGUCAGCAGUAUGAGUGGUCUGGUCUGCAACAGGCUGGUUGUCAGGUAGUCAGCAGUAUGAGUGGUCUGGUCUGCAACAGGCUGGUUGUCAGGUAGUCAGCAGUAUGAGUGGUCUGGUCUGCAACAGGCUGGUUGUCAGGUAGUCAGCAGUAUGAGUGGUCUGGUCUGCAGCAGGCUGGUUUUCAGGUAGUCAGCAGUAUUAGUGGUCUGGUCUGCAACAGGCUGGUUGUCAGGUAGUCAGCAGUAUGAGUUGUCUGGCUGUAGGC
This is a long non-coding RNA of Oncorhynchus keta (chum salmon), 643 nucleotides long. RefSeq lists it as uncharacterized. The record is from RefSeq and is a predicted model, not a curated record. Lineage: Eukaryota; Metazoa; Chordata; Actinopteri; Salmoniformes; Salmonidae. The transcript has 4 exons.